UAAUUCAAGUAAAGACAAAGAUUGCAAUGGGAUAAGAGGAUGAGAAAGCUUAUUUUUAUUAGUUUGAAAGCUAGGAUUAAAAUUCAGAAUAACCUGAUAAAUCAAGAAAUAAUAUACUUUGCAUUUGUGUCUUAAGACUUUAUUUCCCAGUGCAGGUCAGAAAAAUAAGGAAAAAAUAACUUACAUAAAAAAUGAGACAGUGAACAUUUUUUUCAAUUAUGACUAGAAAAUCUGUCCAGUCUUAAACAAGUGCAAUGUGAAUAUGAGUUGAAAAUGAAACACUGUAGUUAAAAUAGGAAAAAAAAAUUUUUUGGCCUUUUAGGGCUGCACCUGCAGCAUAUGAAAUUCCCAGGCUAGGUGUUGAAUUGGAGCUGUAGCUGCAGGCCUAUACCACAGCCACAGAAACGCCCAGAUCUGAGCUGGGUCUGCCCACAGCUCAUGGUGGGAUCCUUAAUCCCUUGAACAAAACCAGGGAUUGAACCCGAAUCCUUAUGGAUACUAGAUGGGUUCAUUACUGCUGACCCACAGUAGGAACUCCAGAAAAUUUUAUCCUAGGAUCUUCAGGUUCUUUUUCCCUUCAUAAUUAAAACUCAUACUUAAGCUGGUCCUAGGAUCAGUAGCAAAUAGUAUACAAUUAAAACUAUAAAUCUUACAUAUAAAUAAUAAAAUAACGAAAAGUUAUAGCUUAUGUUUUCUCCAUUUACUUUAUAAUGUUAAUUUAUAUUUAUUUCCAGCUGGCCCUAUAUGGAAAUCACCAUCCCACCUAUCCCCUACCGCCAUAUAUUAAACUUUUUUCCUGAAAAAUAGCCAGUUUAAUGAGUUCUAUCAAAUGUUGUAUUUUUUUUUUACCCAAAAUGUCAUGAUAAUUUUUCCUUUAAAACCAUGUAGGGAUCAUUGACUCGGUGUUUGUUAUCUUUUUUUAAAAAGUAAAAAAAAAAAAAAAAAAAAAAAAAAAAUGAUUGGUUAACCAAUAUUAAUAUGUAUAAAUGCAAAGUUGGAACUGUUUUCAUUUGCUGUAGAGAAGUACAUGGUUUUUAAUAUGAGGGCUUUUGGAAGGAUAAUUUAAUCAAUUAGUGGGACCACACCAAGGGAAGGGUUUGUUUUUUGUUUGAGAAAGUGUUUAGUUAGCUGAAAUCUUGAUGAAUUUGAGUUACGUUGAUCAAGAGGGAGAAAAAAGUUGGUGGAAGAAAGGAGGAUCUAUGUACAAGAUCCUCAUGUGGGAAGAUUUUAGUACCUAACAUUAAAUGAAAGUCAGAAUGACAGAAGCCAAGGACUAGAGAGUGCAUGGAAAGAGGUUAUGCUAAGGAGUUAUGUCGGAGCCAAAUUGCAGGAUAUUGUGGGCCAAGGUUUUUUAUCCUUAGAGUUAUUAUUUAAAUUUAAACUAAUAUUCUUUACACUCUACAAAGACUUACCACUGCAGUUGACCCUUGAGCAGCUUGGGAGUUAGUGAUGCCACUCCUACAAGCAGUCAAAAACCCAAGGAUAAUUUAUAGUUGGCCUUAUUAUCUGAGGUUCCUCUGUGUGGGAAGAUUCAACCAAUUGCAGAUCCCAUAAUACUGUAGUAUUUAUUAUUGGGGAAAAAAAAUCUGGAUUUUUUGGAUACACAUAGUUCAGACUCCUGUUGUUCAAGAGUCAGCUGUACUUGCUCCGGUGGUUGUAUUCUAAGAGUUCAUUUUUCUUUCAGUUUAAGACUUACAGUGCUUUUCCUAUGGAAUCAUUGUUGUAGAGAUCAAGUCUCCUAAAACACUUUUAACACAGUUAACAGUGGAAGGUAGUGAAUAUUAACAUUGAGCCCUUAAGAAAACUAGGUGGAAGAUAGAAAAGAAAAACAAAAAAGGGGAUUAAAAUUGGUAUCUCUACAUACUCAAGAGAAUGUCCUGAGUGUGAUUGACUGAGUUUGAAUAAUAAGGAAAAAAGUCUGCAAGUGUAGGAGGCUAGUGUAGGAGAUCCUAGCAAAUGAUUAUCAUAUUCAGUUGGACAGCUUAAGACCCUCACUUGGUACCUGUAUGAAGCAGUGUGAUAUCCGAAGCAUACCAAGGCAGGGAAAGUAGAAGACAUCAUAUUCACAAAUUCAAUGUUCCAAAUCUAGGAAAUAUUUGUGUCAAUGUUAUUAAAACAUAAAAUUAAAAAAUAUAUUUUAAGUAGAAUUGCAAAAUGGUAAUACAAUGCCAACUGUGUUUUGGUUUUUUUAGAGUAAAAAAGUAAGAAGUUAGAAGAAUUAUAUUUUACUAAGUAACAUUAUCUCAGGCCUUUAUGGUAGCUUUGAGAAUAUUGCUGAAUCUCCCUUGGAGUAGUGCUCAUAUUUAUUUGUUUGUUUUUUGGUUUAUUUUUAGCCACACCCAUGGCAUCUGGAAGUUCAUGGCCAGGGAUCAAAUCUAAGCCUCAGCUGAGGCCUACAUCACAAGCUGUGGCAAUGCCAGAUCCUUAACCCUCUGUGCUGGGCCAGGGAUUGAACUCAUGCUACCACAGAGAUGAGAUGGCAUCCUUAACCUGCUGUGGCACAGCAGGAACUCCUGAAGUAGUACUUUUAAAGACAAAGUUGAAGGAAUUUAAUUUUUAAUCUUAUUUUCCAUUUAACUUAGAACAUCGUCAAUAAGAUAGUUUCAUUUCUUGUUGAUAUUUAAAUUUUAAGCCUCUUUGAACACCAGCUUACAUCUAUAUUAGUAAACAAUCUAGUUAAUAAAGUUUAUUAAGAAUAUUAUAAAAAGAUGGAUCAGUUACUUGAAUUUUAUCAAGACCAAAAUGUCACAAAAAAAAAUGUGUUAAAUUGUAAGGAAAAGGUAAAAUAUAUGCAAGCAUUCACUGAAUAGUCAUCACAAUACUGUUGGUUGAGGAAUUCUGCCAGUACAUCAUCCUUUAUCAGGUGAUCUUGAACUUUAACUUUCUGGCAUUCUCAAGUAUGGCUUUUAAAGCAGAUUAACAUCUAAAAUUAAGAACUGCAGAAUUGACUUUAGUGGUUAUUUACUCAUGUAUUUGCACUUUUACUUACAAAACAUUCUAAAUUAGAAAGUAUCACUACCAUUUAUUUAUUUAUUUUUGCAGUGUCUAGCAGACUACUGGUAUUCAGAGACCAUAAAUAUUUGGGAAGAUUAUUGGGGUUUGAAAACACAGUUUACUAAAUUUAUCUGAUAUCUCUAAGGGUCAUCGUACCUUUUAAACAGAAAUGAGGAAUCACUUGGAAAUUAUUCAGGGAUUGAUGUGUUCCCUCUGUUUUACAGGUUUCUACUUGUCUAUCAAAGUAUAUUCCAAAAAUCCCUAGUUCUGUGAUAAUAGGUAUGGCCAUCCUCCCCUAUCUCCCAUGAGAUUUCUUCAUUGACGUUUUGAAAACUUGAUUGAAGAAUACUGAACAGGAUUUUUUUUACCAUAAUAGCAAUCACUAACAUUUAUUGAGUGCUUACUUUGUGCCAGUCACUAUGCUAAGAGUUUUACAUACAUUAUCUUAUUUAAUCUUAACAACCAGAAAAAACACUUGGAAGAAUAUUCCAGAAGUAUUUCCUUGUAUUACUUCACAGCUUAUAAGCACCAGUGCAAGAACUUCUGUUAAGAAUGUAAUAGUGAGAAAAAUACCAUUUUCUGUUGUUAAACAUCCUGUGGCUUUGGGAAAGAAGAUUAUGAAAUUUAUCCUUAAAAUUAAACAUUGAACUUAAUAAUGUUUUCUAUGCUCUUCUAACCAUAGUAUUCACAGAUAAUCAGUGAAAACCAUUAUAUUCUUUUAUGACUAGGAAACAACCUUUAAGGCUUCAGAGAGAUGCCUGGGUUUGAACACAGGUUCUAUAGUGUUCAAACACAGGCCACUAUAGUGUUCAACUUUGGUGAGCUGUUAAGGUUCUGAAAUUGAGUUUAUCUGUAAAAUUAGUAUAGUGGUACAUUUCUCACAGAGUUAGUUGUGACUAUUAAGUGAUAGAGUACCAAGCGUAUAUGAAGUCCUAGCAUAUAGUGUACAUUCACUGAAACUUGGUUUUCUUUCUUUUUCCUUUUCUUCUUUUUCUGUUAGUAAUAACCAUGUUUUAGAAUCUUCAUGAAAUUAUAUACACAUUAAAUUUUUAAAUUGUUUUCCUUUUAAAAAGUAAUCUAUUUCUCCUAAAAUUAUUUUAAAACUUUCCUUAAAUUCUGAUUUGAGGGCUUGAUUUACUUCAUCUUUUUGCUUUUCUGCAUUUUGCUAAUGAAAUGGGCACUUGUAAAUGUUGUUGAACUCAGAUAUAAAUUUAAGUAGCCACACUUCAUUAAUGUAAACACUCUACUGAAAGCUUACAGCUAUGCUUUUGGUUCUUAUUAAGUGAAAGAAUAUUAAAUAGAGUUCCUUUUUUUGUCUUUAUUUCCCCACACUAAACAGGCGAUAGUGCAAAGAAGUUAAGUGCCUGGACUCUAGGGCAAAUCUGUUUGGAAUCAAAUCCCUACUUUACCACUUAACUAUGUGACACCUGCAUCUCAAUUUACACAUUAGUAAAAUGGGUGUAAUAAUUGUGCCCACCUUAGGGCAUAUAUCUAUAUCUAUCUAUAUAUAACUGUUAAAAAUGCCUUGCACAUACUGAGUGCUGUAACAGUGUUAACUGUUAAUAGUGAUUAUAUGUAUUAUCUGUAGAUGAAUAUGUAUUAUCUGUAUAUCAGUUGUAUUAUAGAAAAAAUUGUUACUACUGUUCUGGUAAGAGUCUAAUUUGGUAAUUUUUCAUUUGGUAGAAUAAAAACAAAUUCAGUUUAAUUUACGGUUCCAUGAAAAGUAUGUAGCAUUUGUAUUUGGCAAAUUCUUCACUUUUUUUUUUACUUCUUAAUCGUAUUAUUGGAGAUAGUGAAAAAUCCCUGUUGUUUCUGGUGAAGAAGCUAAGACAUAAGUAAAUUUAGGAGCUUUUAAAGCAUAGCAGUUUUUAAAGUUAGUAGAAAGUUAGUAUUCAGAGUAUUCCAUGUGCUAUUAUGUUGAGCCAUGCAUCUCUACUCCUUAUUAAAUAUUCAAACAACAAACCUAUUAGUUGGCAAACUAAAUGUUAAAGGGAUAUUAUUCUGUUCUUCAAGACUUUCAUUGGCUUAUGUCUCCUUUGGAUGUGUUCUCUUAAGAUUGAUUCACUUAGCCUUAAAUUAAUUCAAAGAUUGUAUGCAAAAAAAUUGUCUUUGCUGGCAUUGGACUAAUUAAAGCUAAGUGGUGGUGGCCCAGCUAUCCUUUAGGACAUUUGUGGGUGGAGUAUCUUUUUUAGUAAUCAGCUGCCUUCCCUUCCCGCCUCAUUUGAUGAAAUGGAAAAUUUCUCUACAAUUUCUCAUAGUAUCAGUAACCAUUGUAGUAAUACUGUGCUUUUCUGAACCAUCCAAGAAACUUAACCGUCAUUCUUAAUAUUAGUUUCUAUGAAAAAUGAUUCCAAGUUUCAAAGAAUAAAUUGAAAAGCACUAGGAUUAUAAGAACAGUUUUCUGGGUUUUUUUUAGAAAGAUACAUUAGAGAAACAUUUAAAAUAUUUGUUUUUUCUUGUUUAAAAUACUGCACAUUGUCUCUAAUUAAUCAAUUUAAGAAAGUUAUGAACAGUUUGUUUGGAAUCCAGAAAAUAAUAAAUGAUGAUGACUAGAAAACUCAAAAGCAUCCCUUUAAGAGAGAAUUGUAAAUGUUACUUAGACAAGUAAUAGAAAAGUGUCAUUUAGGAGUAGUAAAUAAUUUACUAUGAAUUUUCUCUUUAAAACUAACAAAACUUAAAACUUAGUAUUUUAGUUUAAUAAUUUGGAAAUCUUAAUAGGUGCUUUCACAUCAGUGCCACUUUUAUUGUAGAAAACUAAACAAGGAUAAAUUUAUAUAUGUUGAAAAUAGCAGUAUUGACUCAAACACAAAAUAUCCUGUUUUCUAUCCUUGUGAAAUAAUGUUUAAAUUGUAAACAAAUUUGGAAAAAUGUUUUUCUCUAUCUUUUUUUAUAUUUUUUAUUCUUAUUUUUUUUUAGUGUUUUCAUGUAUACACUCUACCGAUUAUUAGGGGCAUAGACUCAGGGAACCUAGUCACCUAAUAACCGAAUUUGAAAACUCUCAAAUUAUUUUGUAAAUCCUGUUGUGAUUAAACCACUUUAAGUUUCUCCUAAAAAAAAAGUCAAGUUAUGUUUAAAAUAAUCUUUUUUAAAGUUAUGGCUUCUGAAAAGGAUUAUUUCUUGAAAGGAGAUUGUGAACAUUUUAGAAUAUUAUUAAGGCUACCAUCAGCUGCUAAGGGACAUCAAAUCCUGACUCAAGGAAAUAGUAAUUUUUCAUAAGUAGGAAUUUUUCUAAAGUAGAGAAAAGAUGUACAUUGUUGUCUGUUACAUAUGCAAUUAGGUAAAAAAAGUCCUAGGACUUAAGAAGCAAUCUCAGGUUUUUCAUAGCGGUGUAGAGAAGUAUAAAUAUUUAUUCAGUUGCUUGUUCUACACAUGUUAACUACAUGAUAUGAGCCAUGUAUGCAGCAAUAAAUAAGACAGGUAGGUAUAUGAUAUCAUAUGGUAUUUGUCUUUCUCUUUCUGACUUACUUCACUCGGAGUGAGAGACUGUAGUUCCAUUCAUGUUGCUGCAAAUGAAAAGACUUAGAGAAAAGACUUGUGGUUGCCAAGGGGGAGGGGGAGGGAGUAGGAUGGAUUGGGAGCUUGGGGUUAAUAGAUGCAGACUAUUGCCUUGGGAAUGGAUUAGCAAUGAUAUCCUGUUGUGUAGCACUGGGAGCUAUGUCUAGUCACAUGAUGGAGCAUGAUAAUGUGAGAAAAAAGAAUGUAUACGUGUAUGUGUAACUGAGUCACCAUGCUGUACAGUAGAAAAAAA
This 6742-nucleotide long non-coding RNA is filed under the name Sus scrofa (pig). Its description in RNAcentral is "lncRNA (ENSSSCG00045011310.1)". The record is from RNAcentral. Lineage: Eukaryota; Metazoa; Chordata; Mammalia; Artiodactyla; Suidae.